UACAGAGGGCCCGAGCGUUGCGCGGAUUCAUUGGGCUUAAAGGGUGCGUAGGCGGAAGCGUAAGUGCUUUGUGAAAGCCCACGGCUCAACCGUGGAAUUGCAGGGCAUACUGCGCUUCUUGAGGCCAGUAGGGGUUGCCGGAACUCUAGGUGUAGCGGUGAAAUGCGUAGAUAUCUAGAGGAACGCCGAUGGUGAAGACAGGCAACUGGGCUGGUUCUGACGCUGAGGCACGAAAGCGUGGGGAGCAAACAGG
Molecule: unclassified non-coding RNA, 253 nt
Filed under: uncultured Phycisphaeraceae bacterium
Lineage: Bacteria; Pseudomonadati; Planctomycetota; Phycisphaerae; Phycisphaerales; Phycisphaeraceae
Description: contains 16S-23S intergenic spacer region
Rfam family: Bacterial small subunit ribosomal RNA
Source: RNAcentral